Sceloporus undulatus (fence lizard) is the source of this 5487-nucleotide long non-coding RNA. RefSeq lists it as uncharacterized. NCBI's taxonomy places the organism in Eukaryota, Metazoa, Chordata, Lepidosauria, Squamata, Phrynosomatidae. The transcript is spliced from 3 exons. The record is from RefSeq and is a predicted model, not a curated record.
UUCUACUAACUGACUCUACCCAAAAUUGCUUCUGACUCCGACUUCAUGAUUCCAACUCCUAUUCUACAGCCCUGAUGGAAAGCAUUAGUGCACAGCAUUAAUGAGCAAGUCCAACCAAGGGAUGUUUCCUUUAUUUCCUAGUUGGCUACUGUGCAGUUGGAGGAGGCACAAUUAUACAAUGGUGUUUUGUUGUUGCUGCUGUUGUUCAGUUAAUUAAAUUACUGUUGUGAAAUUGCAUGUCUCAUUUUAGCAAUUGAUGCCCUAUUUUAUCUUUACUUGUUGAGAUUAUUUCACUGACACUGCCAGAUCCUACCACACUGUUUUACUGAUGUGGGUCUCCUAGGUGUCCAAUGACAGGAAAAGCAAUUGAUUGUUGUUGAUAAUUGGCUGGAUGAACUUUAUAUCCUGGCAAAUUCAAAUAGGGCUGAGAGAGGCAGCCUCAGAAUACUUUUUGCUCAUAAUACUAAAAGAUUAUUCUUACAGUGAUAUGCCACACAUAUUUGGGAACCAGGGUUCCAUCAGUGAAGGUAUAUACUGUACUUUAUCAAGGAAUAUGAUAUACGGAUUGGCCUAAAAAAGUAUAUGAUCUCACAAUAUAGCUCUUUCGGUUUUGCCAUUUGUUGUCACCUCCUCAUUCUCUUGUUCCAUUCUUUAGAGGGGUUGUUUGCACUAGUUUUGUUUGUUUUGUUUUGAUCUGCAAAUUGGAGUAUGGUUUGCUGAGGAGUUCCUGUAGUUUGAAAGGGAAAUUUUCUCUUCUCUGAUUUUUUAAAUUUAUUUUUAAAGGACUGAUGGAAUUAUAGUACAAAACUAAAAGUUUUUUUAAAAAAAAAGAGAAAAAGAUUUCUUUUUAAUCUGAGUACAAAAGUCCCCAAAAUUAUAACUAUUGCAACCUCUCAACACAUUGCCCCAUCUGGAGGAGCCCAGUAUUUCUUAACUUCAUUCAAGGCUUUGGUAGGAUUUAAAAAAAAAAUUUAAUUAUCCCAAAAGAUAGAAGAAAGAGAAGACAUAUGGAUAUUUUUUUAAAUGAAAGAAAUGUCAUUUCAAAAGGGCCAUGAUUUCAAAGAAUCUGUUCCUGUGAGUUGCCCAUCUAAGCAGCUAAAGAAGAAACCUUUGAAGAUUUUCACACAUUGAAAGACUCAUACUGGAAGAGGCACUUUCCCAGAUACUAUUUAUUGGGUUUAUAUGGAUUGAUUCUCUGCUUAAACCUGCUUAAGGUGAUAUACACAAACCAAUUAAAAUCACUAUCAUCUGGGACCAAGACAUUUGUGUCCAACAACAUAAUCUUGAAUUUCUUUUAGAACCCAGACAGUAGCCAAUAAAGUGCUUAUCAGUACAGGGGUUAUAGGUUAAGACUGACAUCUAUUGCACAACAAUUGUACCACUACAUUUAAUCCAGUUGUCAUUUCUAAAUCAUCUUCAAGGUUAUGUUCCAAAUAGAAUGUAUUACAAUAAUCUAAUCUCAAAGUCAUCAGACAAGACAUUAUUUUAUGAUGAUGGCAGCAUAUGGGUCCUCAGCUUCCAGAAAAGAGCACUCCUGAUUGGAUUUGACAAAAUUUCAUUAUUUUUUUUAAUUCACACAUUUUCCAGUGAGAUGAUGCAAUUUUGCUUCAAAGCUGUAAAAUAUAAGUGCAUGUAAAAUACACAUUCUGAAGAUGCUUGUUUCUGUCUUUGCAUGGGUGUUAAUGUCUAUUCCUUUUAUUAUAUAUCUCUUUAGUAAGUUCUUUUAAGGGCCCAGACUCAAUACAAGGGCCAAUAUUUUCCAGACAAAAGUAUAUUGCUUAAAGAUAGAUGUAAAAGCAUUUUGCUUUUCAGUAACUGUAUGUAUAGUCCUUCAGUCAAUAAAUUUUAGCAACGAUGCUAUUAUGGCAUUUUUCUAUACAUUAAAAUUAUAAUAUUGAUCUGAACCUUGCUUAGACUUUCCUCCCAAGUACCUAGUUACAGUUGAAGUCAGCUCCAGGUUGCAAAGAAGAAAGCUGCAGUGAGAUCUUUCUAUCAUGUGAGUAAAUAUAUGAUUCUUUAUGUUGCUCCUUGCCCAUCCAUGCAUCACACUGAAGAGGAAGGUAACAGGUUCUAUCUAAACUGGUUUCUCAUUUACAAAAUAAAAUAUUAAGGCUGCUUAUCCUAAAUAUACUCACAGGAAGAAAAUUUCAGUGGUCCUUUCUGCAAACUAAAGCAACUCAGAAUUAGAUCAGGGGUUUGUCUACACAAUUAAAAUACUCGCCAUUCCAUUUGAAUAGAUUAUGACCCCUCCAUUUGCAAUUCAGAGAAAUUCAGGCUAAAGGGGGCAAAAACCUCAAAUUCUGCAGAAAAAAGAAUCAUGUUUUUUACGAAGGAUACACAUUACUGAACAUGUGGCCAUGUAUCCACUUAGCAAGGAUUCACAUGCCUGUGCAUUUUAGGCAAAGGGAAAAUAAGUAGAUGUAAAUUUGCACAGGAAAAGUGAAGAUGUGUCAAUGUACAUGUAGAAAAAUCUGCAACAAUUUGCAUUAUGUGUAUACUAGCUCCAGGUGUGGGCAACAUCAAUGGAUCUGGAGGCCAGUUUCCUGUCCCAAAACCUGCAAUGGGCUGUGCUUAUGAAAUUCAGUGGGACAAUAUUAAAACACUUAAUAAUUAGCAUUUCUUGAUUGGAUUAAAAGGGUUUUCCAGGUGUUCAACUAAAUUAGAGAGGUAGAGUUUUGGGAAAGCCUGGGAAACAGAAAAAAGGGCUUUGGGGACUGUUAUCAGGUUGGAUGUUGUCCACCCUGAGUUAGACUGAAUCUCAGAUUGUAUGUUUUCCAUUUAUGGAUAGACUUUCAUUCACAUUUGAACUGACAUAUUUGUUUCCUGUCAAAUCUGUUGAGUAGUCUUUGGAAUUGUGUUAUCAAAAUACCAAGAAUAUUUUUCAUGUUGUCUUCUCUUGUCUUACUAGUAUAAUGUUCUGUUUUAGUAAUGAUUUCUGGUGAUUUGUCUUGGUCUUUUCUACCUAUUCCCCCUGCCUUCUUGCUUUGGUUAAUUUUAUUUUUUGUUUAUUAAGUGUCAUAUUAUGGUAUUUGGUCACAACUGCAACAUGUGGAUUUCACCAGCAGCUUGCAGAAAAGUAUCUUACAGGGAAAAUGGGAGCAGCUUGCCUCUGAAAUUAUGCUGUUACUAUGAACUCCUGUAGAAUAUCACUGAAGACCAACAAUAAUACUACAGCACAGUUUGCAAAUAUUAAAGCUUUAUGUUUAUUUCACCAUUGCUGACAUAAAAACUGACACCUUAAUUCUAUUCCCUAUAACAUAUCACAGGUGAAAACCGGAAUACGUGUGGCCAAGCAACAACAGGGUGUGGUCAGCAUGACAACAAUGAUGCAAGAAUCAGGGGAGGAUUCUGCUGGUCACAGUCAGCUUGGUCACCAGGCAAGGAGAUAUUCAUCCUAGGUGCAGGUCACACCACUCCUGGCUAUUUUGUCAGCAGUUUCCUGUAUCUACCCACUUGGUUUGCGAAGUAUACCAGAAUAAAAAGAGAGCGGUGUCAGAAGAAUCCCUUCAUGCUCUACAGUGUAUCAGCUGUGAUGGCAACACUCUACACAUGUGAAGUCUGAGUAGUGGGUAGUGAUGAUCUGGUUUCCACUCUGCAAAUUCUUGACUGAUAAAUCUAUAUAAUGGAUGAAUGAACCCAAGGUGCUCAUUAGUGUUUAAACAUUUCACUAAUUAUAUUCAGCCACUAACCGUAUCUUAAAGGUUAAAUAUAUCUUCAAAACUCUCUCAUAUAAGAAAAUCAGCCUUAGAAUUAACUAUGAUUUAUUGUUUGUUAUAGAUGACAAACUGCCAGGAGGCAGAAAGAUAAUUAACUCAGAUAUAAUGAUUCCAUGACCAAUAAUACUUCAGAUAUUGCAUAUUGCAUCUGUACAUAUUAUGUUAAAAAAAAAAGCAAGAGAAUUGUUAGAAUUAUUAAGUCAUACAAAAUCAGGAGGUAAUCUGCAGCAAGUUUCAUUAGCUACAUUUUGCUUAAUACUUAUAUACUUGGCCAAAUACAUCUCAAAAUAAUCUUAAUUUUUGAUUGAUCAAUUCACUUUUACUAAAUGUUUGCAACAAGAAUUUCGCCAUUGUUCUCGUGAGAAUAAUUACUCAUUGUCAGGCUCAUAUCAAAAGAAUACAUUGAAGGAGUGCUGCCCACAGAUAAAUAAGUUCCAACAAAAUUAAUGAGACUGACAUGCAAAUUUAUGGUUAUACAUCAUUGAUUUCAAUGGGAAUGUGCCUUAUUCUCUCUGAAUUGUACCUUGGAUGUAUUGGAUUUACAGUAUAAUUCUACUUAUGUCUACUCAGAAGAAACAUUCACUGUAUUCAUUGUGAUUUAAUCCUAGGUAAAUGGGCAUAUGAUUGCAGCCUACCGUAAAUGAGUAAAUACCUUAGUUAUAAAUGUGAAGUAUAAAUUAACAGCAUACACUAGUCUGUUAUUUACUUUUCUUACAAACAAAUAAAUCUUUGUUUAAUGUUUAUCUUUUUGACUCACCUCCUAGAAUUUAUCCCUAGAAAGAAAAAGACAGAAAAGGAUAUAAUUGAAUAAUAAGAAUUAUUGUUAACUUUAUUUAUACCUUGCCUCUUUACCAAAACCAGAGCUCAAGGUGUCCUAUAAAUUAAAACAAGUACAAUAUUAUUAAAAUAUAUCCCAAAAAAAGAGGCUGGGAAGAGAAUUAAACUAUUAAAAAUGCUUAAAAAUGGUUUAAAGCAAACAAUUAAAAAUAUUAAAAAGCAGUUUAAAAACUAGUACAAUUAGAAUAUUAUAAUAUGCUUUGAAAUGUCCUUUCUUUUCAAAGCAUCUUUUAGGACAUAUAUUAUAGACUUAGAACAAAUAAUAAAACAAAAUAAAUGACUGUAUUUGUGGGAGUAUUCUUCUCAUGGAUUUUAAUUUUAUUGGCAGGGGGAAGCCACAAUAAGAAUGUAAAACCAAGAUCAUUAAGAAAGUAAAACACCAGAGAUUCCUGGGGCAUAUUUAAGACUAAGAGGUUCAUUGUAACAUCAGCUUUGGUAGACUGCAGCCCAUAUUAUCGGAUUCAUUGGUUUUAUAUUCAUGUGUUUUUUUUUUCUAGAAUGUGUGGCCUACAGGCCACAUGCAAACCACAAGGGCACAUUUUUCAGCUCCCAGUCCCCCAAUUUGUUUUUAAAUACAACAAACUGAGCUCCCACAGAAACAUAUAAGGUUGAUUCCCUUGCCCUCCAGUACUUCAACCCCUCCAAAAGGUGGAAAUUGCCCAUAUCUUGGUUGCUUCCUGGAACAAAUGACAUGACAUCACUUUGAGAUGUGCCACAAACAGCUGUGUGACCUCCAGAUGGAGGCAGGGAGAAAUGGCUCCCACCCAUUGUACAACUGCCUACCCCUGCUCUAUAUACAUAAUGGACAUAAUUGUGGUUGGAUAAUCACCAGUUAUAAUUCUUAAUAUUUCAUGGCUAUACCUAUAGAAUGACUAGUGGAAGGUACAGGUUGAGUCUCCCUUAUCUGGAAUUCCAAAAUCCAAAAUAUUCCAAA